RNAcentral lists this ribosomal RNA (261 nucleotides) under uncultured bacterium. RNAcentral describes it as "partial 16S ribosomal RNA". It matches the Rfam family "Bacterial small subunit ribosomal RNA", at positions 334 to 612 of the family's 1533-position model. The record is from RNAcentral.
GGUCCCUACGGGGGGCAGCAGUGGGGAAUAUUGGACAAUGGGGGAAACCCUGAUCCAGCGACGCCGCGUGAGUGAAGAAGUAUUUCGGUACGUAAAGCUCUAUCAGCAGGAAAGAAAAUGACGGUACCUGACUAAGAAGCCCCGGCUAACUACGUGCCAGCAGCCGCGGUAAUACGUAGGGGGCAAGCGUUAUCCGGAUUUACUGGGUGUAAAGGGAGCGUAGACGGCGAAGAAAGUCUGAAGUAAAAGCCCUCGGCUCAA